GGGGCCUUGGUGUGUCAGCUGUGACUCGUGGUCAGCCAAAGGGCACAUCCUGACCGAUGGGCCGGCUUUGCAGAGGAGGAUGGGAAGGUACCAGGGGCAGUGACGUGUGCGCUUCCUGCUGAGGAGGCGUGUGCAAGGGACUGCGGUGACCAGGGGGCCGCAGUGUGCAGGCCGGAAGCCUGGUGGAGUGUGGGGGCCGUGGGGCCGGGGAGAUGGCUGGAGGGCUGGACGUGGGGUCAGGGACCCUGUUCGUGGCUGCAGAGUUUGGAAGUUGAGUUUGAGGCGGCAGUUCUGGGGCUGGAGCGGAAGCAGAGGCUGUUCGGCGGUGAGCUCUGGGAGUGUCCGCUUUGCGAUGCUCCGUAGCCCUGCACCAGGCGGUGUGAGCCAGCGCGUGCCCCUGAGCCAGUGCUGCGGGUGCGCUGAGGCCUAGCCCCGGGCUCUCAGGAACCCGGGGUGUUCUGCAGAUGCAGGGAUGUGCUGUGACCAGUCUGGGGGCUCAGCGACUCUGGUGACCCUGGAGUCUGCCAGCCACAGCCCCGGUCUCUCCUGGAGCAGCCGCACCCUGGGGAGCUGUGCGCGAGGGUACAGCCCAGGCGCGUGGUGGCUGGGGGGGCGCAGGGCCGUGCGCACGGUGUGUGGCACGGGCGGGAGUGAGCGCGAGAUGGUGCAGAGUGUCUGUCCCCCACGCAGCUCCCCGCUGCCGGCAGUGCCCCUCAGCGCGGCUGUCAAGUCACAGCCCGUGUCCUCAGCCUCCCCCUCUGGUCCCUUCCAUCCCCGCUUGCUGCUAUGUGGUGUCGCUCCAGGGCGCCAUCUGCCUGUCCUGGGGUCUGGGAGGGGUGUUGACGCAGGUGCCUGCUGGGCCUUCGCCAGUGCCCUCCAUCCUGGUGGGCCCGAACUAGGCAGCGGCUGGCGUCGACGUCCGCCUUGGCCCUGCAGGUGCAGUCAUCGCUCUCUCCCAGCAUUUGCCUGGGAGCCGGGGGAGCUCAGGGCUGUGUCCAGCUCUCAGAGGGCCUUCCUCUCUCACCGGCCGCUGCGUCCCCCUCACUGUGCCGCUGGAUGCAGGCGUGCACGCUGGGCACUGCCCCCCGUGAUUGGCUCCUGGUUCCCGUGGCCACGCUGCCCAUGA
This 1126-nucleotide long non-coding RNA is filed under the name Capra hircus (goat). RNAcentral describes it as "lncRNA (ENSCHIG00010030687.1)". The record is from RNAcentral. Lineage: Eukaryota; Metazoa; Chordata; Mammalia; Artiodactyla; Bovidae.